CUUUGGAUGUGGGGGUUGCUGGCUUUUCACGAAGUCAGCUCUCCUUAAAUACAUUAGUGGUUACUGUUCUCCACUUCUUGGUGUGAUAAUUAUCUACGCCUAGUGAAGAAGUAAAGUGUAGCUGCUUUCUAACCGUCCAUUUACUUGGACAACUUGAACCAUUUGACCUCAAAUCAGGUAGGACUACCCGCUGAACUUAA
RNAcentral lists this unclassified non-coding RNA (200 nucleotides) under soil metagenome. Its description in RNAcentral is "partial contains internal transcribed spacer 2 and large subunit ribosomal RNA". The record is from RNAcentral.